UACAGAGGGGGCAAGCGUUGUUCGGAAUUACUGGGCGUAAAGGGCGCGUAGGCGGCCUGUUAAGUCGAACGUGAAAUCCCCGGGCUCAACCCGGGAACUGCGUCCGAUACUGGCAGGCUUGAAUCCGGGAGAGGGAUGCGGAAUUCCAGGUGUAGCGGUGAAAUGCGUAGAUAUCUGGAGGAACACCGGUGGCGAAGGCGGCCACCUGGACGGAUACUGACGCUGAGACGCGAAGGCGUGGGUAGCAAACAGG
RNAcentral lists this ribosomal RNA (253 nucleotides) under uncultured bacterium. RNAcentral's name for it is "partial 16S ribosomal RNA". It matches the Rfam family "Bacterial small subunit ribosomal RNA", at positions 524 to 776 of the family's 1533-position model. The record is from RNAcentral.